This 863-nucleotide ribosomal RNA is filed under the name Maublancomyces montanus. RNAcentral describes it as "Gyromitra montana partial large subunit ribosomal RNA". It matches the Rfam family "Eukaryotic large subunit ribosomal RNA", at positions 69 to 941 of the family's 3401-position model. The record is from RNAcentral. Lineage: Eukaryota; Fungi; Ascomycota; Pezizomycetes; Pezizales; Discinaceae.
CAGGGAUUGCCUCAGUAACGGCGAGUGAAGCGGCAACAGCUCAAAUUUUAAAGCUGGCGUCCUCGACGCCCGCGUUGUAAUUUGGAGAGGCAUCUUCGGUUUGGGCGCCAGCCUAUGUUCCUUGGAACAGGACGUCACAGAGGGUGAGAAUCCCGUGCUUGGCUGGCUGUCCCUCUCCAUGUGAAGUGUCUUCGACGAGUCGAGUUGUUUGGGAAUGCAGCUCAAAAUGGGUGGUAAAUUUCAUCUAAAGCUAAAUAUUGGCGGGAGACCGAUAGCGCACAAGUAGAGUGAUCGAAAGAUGAAAAGCACUUUGAAAAUAGAGUUAAAAAGUACGUGAAAUUGUUGAAAGGGAAGCGCUUGAGACCAGACUCGGCCGGAGACGAUCAGCGGUCCUUCUGGGCCGUGCACUCGUCCUCGGUUGGGCCAGCAUCGGUUGAGACGGUGGGAUAAAGGUCCGGGGAAUGUGGCUCCUUUCGGGGAGUGUUAUAGCCCCGGGCGCAAUGCCACCAGUCUCGACCGAGGACCGCGCUCUUUUGCUAGGAUGCUGGCGUAAUGGUCUUCAGCGACCCGUCUUGAAACACGGACCAAGGAGUCUAACAUCUAUGCGAGUGUUUGGGUGUCAAACCCUUGCGCGUAAUGAAAGUGAACGUGGGUGGGAACCUCUCGUAAGGGGGGCGCACCAUCGACCGAUCCUGAUGUCUUCGGAUGGAUUUGAGUAGGAGCAUAGCUGUUGGGACCCGAAAGAUGGUGAACUAUGCCUGAAUAGGGUGAAGCCAGAGGAAACUCUGGUGGAGGCUCGCAGCGGUUCUGACGUGCAAAUCGAUCGUCAAAUUUGGGUAUAGGGGCGAAAGACUAAUCGAACC